Molecule: long non-coding RNA, 964 nt
Organism: Oxyura jamaicensis (ruddy duck)
Lineage: Eukaryota; Metazoa; Chordata; Aves; Anseriformes; Anatidae
Exons: 2
Source: RefSeq, a predicted model, not a curated record
UUUUUUUUUUUUUUUUUUUGGUGAAAUUCAUUAUUCUCUUUUUAGGUUUUUAUAGCUGUUUAAUUUUAGGGUGAUGUAGAGGGCUUAAUGAGUGCAUAGAUGUGCACUUCCUCUUUACAGGGAAGUUCACUCUUCAUCAGUGAAGCAGGAGACUAUCUCCUCUAUGCUCUUAGCUUCAUUUAGGACUAGGUAUAUGGCAACCUGGCUGUAGGCUGAUGUUACUCACCUUCUCUCCAUGGAAAAAGGUUAACAUAGCAUUAAGAAUACAAGGCCAAUGUGAUGGUUGUGUCAAUGCCUCUCUCUCCAUCCCUUUUUUUCCUUACCUCCAAUAAUUUCUGAAUUUAUUAUCUAUUUUCAGACAAUCUGACUAGGUCAAAAAUCUAAGUGACUGAACUGUUCAAAUUUUAUGAAAAUGUGUGUUUAGGUAGAGAAGACAUUUAAAUUAAAAAUGCUCUAAAGAUACUCAGUGAUAGCUCAACCAUAUUACCUGAAACAACUUGAGUUCUGCUGUUCAAAAAUCUUUUCAGGUUUUCUGUGUUUUCCAGUGUGUUCAACUGUGUUGGAUAGCACCUGCUGGACAAAUCCUCUUAGUGGGACACUUCAUGCCAAGAGCACCAGGGAAUAAGAAAUGAUCCAGCCUGGGUCUCUUGGGUGACGCCAGAUACAAGCUAGUGUAACCAGCCUUGCUUUCUACCAGCCCAUACUGCACAUCUGAGGGUCAGCUCAGUCCUCUUUGUAGAUCAGUCCACGCAUGGGUAGGGAUUGUCUGUAACAUGUUUUUUUUUCUGUGUUUUUUUCUUAGAAGGUUUCAACUUACCCUGUUUCAAAUAAUGUUUAACACAGCAAGAGUCAUGGUCUUGCUUUCUUUGGGAACUGCUGGGCUAGUGGCCAGAUCAGGUUAUGUGUGAUCUUGGAGAGACCAGCAUGGGUUUCAUCUACAGGAACAAACAAACAAAAAGAAACA